AUUGAACGCUGGCGGCAGGCUUAACACAUGCAAGUCGAGCGGGGUGAUGGUGCUUGCACUAUCACUUAGCGGCGGACGGGUGAGUAAUGCUUAGGAAUCUGCCUAUUAGUGGGGGAAAACAUCUCGAAAGGGAUGCUAAUACCGCAUACGUCCUACGGGAGAAAGCAGGGGAUCCCUUGUGACCUUGCGCUAAUAGAUGAGCCUAAGUCGGCUUAGCUAGUUGGUGGGGUAAAGGCCUACCAAGGCGACGAUCUGUAGCGGUUCUGAGAGGAGGAUCCGCCACACUGGUACGGGGACACGGCCCAGGCUCCUACGGGAGGCAGCAGUAGGGAAUAAUUGACAAUGGUGGGAACCCUGAUCCAGCCAUGCCGCGUGUGUGAAGAAGGCCUUAUGGUUGUAAAGCACUUUAAGCGAGGAGGAGGCUCUUUUGGUUAAUACCCAAGAUGAGUGGACGUUACUCGCAGAAUAAGCACCGGCUAACUCUGUGCCAGCCGCCGCAGUAA
This 503-nucleotide ribosomal RNA is filed under the name uncultured bacterium. RNAcentral describes it as "partial 16S ribosomal RNA". It matches the Rfam family "Bacterial small subunit ribosomal RNA", at positions 30 to 523 of the family's 1533-position model. The record is from RNAcentral.